UUCAAUGGCCGAACUGGUAAAGGCAUUGCCGAUCACAGGCAAGGUUGCGGGUUCGAGUCCCGCUGGAA
This 68-nucleotide transfer RNA is filed under the name Operophtera brumata (winter moth). It matches the Rfam family "tRNA". Rfam says of the family: Transfer RNA (tRNA) molecules are approximately 80 nucleotides in length. Their secondary structure includes four short double-helical elements and three loops (D, anti-codon, and T loops). Lineage: Eukaryota; Metazoa; Arthropoda; Insecta; Lepidoptera; Geometridae. The record is from Rfam by way of RNAcentral.